CCUACGGGAGGCAGCAGUGGGGAAUAUUGGGCAAUGGGCGCAAGCCUGACCCAGCAACGCCGCGUGAAGGAAGAAGGCUUUCGGGUUGUAACCUUCUUUUGUCAGGGACGAAGCAAGUGACGGUACCUGACGAAUAAGCCACGGCUAACUACGUGCCAGCAGCCGCGGUAAUACGUAGGUGGCAAGCGUUAUCCGGAUUUACGAGGUGUAAAGGGUGUGUAGGCGGGACUGGAAUUCAGAUGUGAAAGCCACGGGGGUAACCCGUGGCUUGCAUUUGACACUGUCGUUCUUGAGUUCUGGAGAGGCAGACGGAAUUCCGAGUGUAGCGGUGAAAUGCGUAGAUAUUAGGAGGAACACCAGUGGCGAAGGCGGUCUGCUGGACAUCAACUGACGCUGAGGCGCGAAAGCGUGGGGAGCAAACAGGAUUAGAUACCCGGGUAGUC
RNAcentral lists this ribosomal RNA (443 nucleotides) under uncultured bacterium. RNAcentral's name for it is "partial 16S ribosomal RNA". It matches the Rfam family "Bacterial small subunit ribosomal RNA", at positions 338 to 795 of the family's 1533-position model. The record is from RNAcentral.